GGUUUCAUGGUGUAGUUGGUUAUCACGUCAGUCUACCACAUUUAAGGUCUCCGGUUUGACCCCGGGCGAAGCCA
This is a non-coding RNA of Rhododendron simsii, 74 nucleotides long. The record is from the annotation of a GenBank genome assembly. NCBI's taxonomy places the organism in Eukaryota, Viridiplantae, Streptophyta, Magnoliopsida, Ericales, Ericaceae.